UGUUUUUUACUCUAGAGGAGGUGCUCAGCUGCUAGCAACCACACACUCAUCCAAGGUAUUUUAAAGAGGCUUCCCACUUCCAGGUAUGGAAGAGCAACGACCUCCUGGAAGAGGAGAGUACACUGGCAAAACAGAUUCCAACGAAGGCUUUCCUGUGAUGCACAGUCACUUCUGGUGUUUGACUGUGAAAAUCUGUCUUACCAGCAUGCAAAGAUAGAGAGCAUAGUCCAUUUUCAGGAGUUGGGUGUUCCCUGACUCCUGAUUGAAGAAAACGUUGAGAAGCAGAGGACAGCUGGAAGAAUACGGGGAAAUGUUGUGGCCAUUCCCAAAGACAGAUCUUGCAGGGGGAAAUGGACCUUUCAAAGGAUGGGGAUUGAAACAAAAGCUCCCUUCAUCAGGAGGCAAAGAAGCCCAUCUAGCUUUCAGUCCUCUUUUCCUGCUGUCCCGAGUGCCACUCCUCCCAUUUUGAAAAAGUGACUUAUGCUGGAAUAAUGGAUUGCUAUGUUGUCACGUGUCAUCAGCGGGACUUCAGCCUUCGUCUGUCUUCCUUCACCACCAUUGUGCAGCACUAGAAAAAGUGCAAUCACUACUCUUGGAUUCUGAAAUUAUUUGUUCAAUAAGAAAGACGUUGGCACAUUUGCGAGUACCCAUUAUAAUAUUUGAUACUGUUAUGCAUUUGUGGAGAGCGUGGCUUGUAUAUGAGUGGGCGGAGGGAAUUAUUUUCGUAUUCUAGUUUGAUAAUCAGUCCCACAUGAAAAUCAUGUCUAAAGCCUUCCAGGUGCUGCCCACUCAAAAACAUCAGACAACACUGGUCCCAAACUUUCCAUUCAUCUCUCAUCCCACACCUUCAUUAAUAUGUUACUGAAUGAUGCUCCAGGAGCUAGCAAGAGGCUUGAUGAAAAGGUAGCUUAAAUGAUGGAAAGUCAUUUUCAGUAGUUAUGCUUUUAUGUUUAUUGAUUCAGCUAGAAGAGAGAUAAUAAUUAACAUCAGUUAUCUAGUAAACCUGUGAACUUGUUCCUGAAGCACAACCUG
This 1032-nucleotide long non-coding RNA is filed under the name Anolis carolinensis (green anole). Its description in RNAcentral is "lncRNA (ENSACAG00000043517.1)". Lineage: Eukaryota; Metazoa; Chordata; Lepidosauria; Squamata; Anolidae. The record is from RNAcentral.